This 253-nucleotide ribosomal RNA is filed under the name uncultured bacterium. RNAcentral's name for it is "partial 16S ribosomal RNA". It matches the Rfam family "Bacterial small subunit ribosomal RNA", at positions 524 to 776 of the family's 1533-position model. The record is from RNAcentral.
UACGUAGGGGGCAAGCGUUAUCCGGAAUUACUGGGUGUAAAGGGAGCGUAGGCGGCAUGGUAAGCCAGAUGUGAAAGCCUUGGGCUUAACCCGAGGAUUGCAUUUGGAACUAUCAAGCUAGAGUACAGGAGAGGAAAGCGGAAUUCCUAGUGUAGCGGUGAAAUGCGUAGAGAUUAGGAAGAACACCAGUGGCGAAGGCGGCUUUCUGGACUGAAACUGACGCUGAGGCUCGAAAGCGUGGGGAGCAAACAGG